RNAcentral lists this long non-coding RNA (974 nucleotides) under Manacus vitellinus (golden-collared manakin). Its description in RNAcentral is "lncRNA (ENSMVIG00005000594.1)". Lineage: Eukaryota; Metazoa; Chordata; Aves; Passeriformes; Pipridae. The record is from RNAcentral.
ACCCAGGUUCCAGCAGCAUCACGGUGGCACCAGUGAUAGCAGUGUAAAAGCACUUGGCCUCUUUCAAUCUGGACAGUUACCUGUGAGGCACUGAGAGAGCUUCCUACAGCGAGGUCAUUCCAGCUGUCAGUCACUGCUCACCUGGGCCACAUUUGAUUGCUGAUCCCAAGAUGAAAGGUUUCAUCCUGUCUUCUCCAGAGGUGGCUGUUCUUCCUGAAGAAAUAUUUCAAGACCAUUUCUACUGGAUACAGGAAAAAGAAGCAAACACAUCCCCAGGCUUUUACUUCCAUGCUGGUAUUGCAUAGCUUCCUGUGACCCUCUCUUCUCCCAGCAAUGCAUGGCUUUAAGGUUGCACAGGCUGGGUGGAAUAUAUUUUAGAGCGAGACUCAAUUUAGCCAUGAUGUCAACUGCAGCCAACUAUAAAAAGCUCAGUAACGCUCUUUGAAAGUGUAACAGCUGCCGCUCUACACAGUCCCUGGUGUAUUACAAGUCCGCCCUACUUCAUGUGCACACAACCAAAAUAAAAUACGGUAGUAAUCAUUAUAUAGUUCAAGGAAUUUGGGACAAAAUCUCCCCAGAAACCAGGAGGAAUUCAAGUGAUCCCUACACAGUGACAACCGAGCAGAAAACCUUUUGGCAGUUCUGGAUAAACUGACUUCUUGCAUGGGCAAAGCAUGUGAAAGAAAAAGGAUUCAUGUCUCCCUGUCUUUAAGAAAACAUAUGACCUCUUCAGCAGCAAUUCCUCUCAAUCAUCAGCAAGAUAGAGACCAGAAGGUCUACAUUUCUUACUGGAGGGCACUGUUGCUGGACUAGACUGCCUCUCUGGGACUUGUAUUUCCUCCGUGUUUCCCUUCCCAUGCAGAACCCGCUGUUCCAAGAAACAAGUGAAUAAUUUACUGGCUGAACUGAGCAUAUUCAUCUUAUCUGCGAAUUAAGCUAAGGGUUCUCUCAAAUACAUAAAUUAUUGGGAAUUU